UACUAGUUGUUGGUGGAGUAAAAUCCAUGAGUAACGCAGCUAACGCGUGAAGUAGACCGCCUGGGGAGUACGGUCGCAAGAUUAAAACUCAAAUGAAUUGACGGGGGCCCGCACAAGCGGUGGAUUAUGUGGAUUAAUUCGAUGCAACGCGAAAAACCUUACCUGGCCUUGACAUGUACCGAAUUUGGGAGAGAUUCCUUAGUGCUCGAAAGAGAACGGUAACACAGGUGCUGCAUGGCUGUCGUCAGCUCGUGUCGUGAGAUGUUGGGUUAAGUCCCGCAACGAGCGCAACCCUUGCCAUUAAUUGCCAUCAUUUAGUUGGGCACUUUAAUGGGACUGCCGGUGACAAACCGGAGGAAGGUGGGGAUGACGUCAAGUCCUCAUGGCCCUUAUGGCCAGGGCUUCACACGUAAUACAAUGGUCGGUACAGAGGGUUGCCAACCCGCGAGGGGGAGCCAAUCCCAGAAAGCCGAUCGUAGUCCGGAUUGUAGUCUGCAACUCGACUACAUGAAGUCGGAAUCGCUAGUAAUCGCGGAUCAGCAUGUCGCGGUGAAUACGUUCCCGGGCCUUGUACACACCGCCCGUCACACCAUGGGAGUGGGUUUUACCAGAAGUAGGCAGUCUAACCGUAAGGAGGACGCUUACCACGGUAGUAUUCA
RNAcentral lists this ribosomal RNA (659 nucleotides) under uncultured Methylophilaceae bacterium. RNAcentral describes it as "bacterial SSU rRNA". It matches the Rfam family "Bacterial small subunit ribosomal RNA", at positions 814 to 1471 of the family's 1533-position model. Lineage: Bacteria; Pseudomonadati; Pseudomonadota; Betaproteobacteria; Nitrosomonadales; Methylophilaceae. The record is from RNAcentral.